GAUGAACGCUGGCGGCGUGCCUAAUACAUGCAAGUCGAGCGAACAGACGAGGAGCUUGCUCCUCUGACGUUAGCGGCGGACGGGUGAGUAACACGUGGAUAACCUACCUAUAAGACUGGGAUAACUUCGGGAAACCGGAGCUAAUACCGGAUAAUAUAUUGAACCGCAUGGUUCAAUAGUGAAAGACGGUUUUGCUGUCACUUAUAGAUGGAUCCGCGCCGCAUUAGCUAGUUGGUAAGGUAACGGCUUACCAAGGCAACGAUGCGUAGCCGACCUGAGAGGGUGAUCGGCCACACUGGAACUGAGACACGGUCCAGACUCCUACGGGAGGCAGCAGUAGGGAAUCUUCCGCAAUGGGCGAAAGCUUGACGGAGCAACGCCGCGUGAGGGAUGAAGGUCUUCGGAUCGUAAAACUCUGUUAUUAGGGAAGAACAAAUGUGUAAGUAACUAUGCACGUCUUGACGGUACCUAAUCAGAAAGCCACGGCUAACUACGUG
RNAcentral lists this ribosomal RNA (497 nucleotides) under uncultured bacterium. Its description in RNAcentral is "partial 16S ribosomal RNA". It matches the Rfam family "Bacterial small subunit ribosomal RNA", at positions 28 to 507 of the family's 1533-position model. The record is from RNAcentral.